Molecule: ribosomal RNA, 253 nt
Filed under: uncultured bacterium
Lineage: Bacteria
Description: partial 16S ribosomal RNA
Rfam family: Bacterial small subunit ribosomal RNA
Source: RNAcentral
UACGGAGGGAGCUAGCGUUGUUCGGAAUUACUGGGUGUAAAGCGCACGUAGGCGGCUUUGUAAGUUAGAGGUGAAAGCCCGGGGCUCAACCCCGGAAUUGCCUUUAAGACUGCAUCGCUUGAAUCCAGGAGAGGUGAGUGGAAUUCCGAGUGUAGAGGUGAAAUUCGUAGAUAUUCGGAAGAACACCAGUGGCGAAGGCGGCUCACUGGACUGGUAUUGACGCUGAGGUGCGAAAGCGUGGGGAGCAAACAGG